UGAGGAAUAUUGGACAAUGGGCGCAAGCCUGAUCCAGCAAUGCCGCGUGCAGGAUGAAGGCCUUCGGGUUGUAAACUGCUUUUGUACGGAGCGAAAAGGUCUGCCCUAAUACGGUGGGCUCAUGACGGUACCGUAAGAAUGAGCACCGGCUAACUACGUGCCAGCAGCCGCGGUAAUACGUAGGGUGCAAGCGUUAAUCGGAAUUACUGGGCGUAAAGCGUGCGCAGGCGGUUGUGUAAGACAGAUGUGAAAUCCCCGGGCUCAACCUGGGAACUGCAUUUGUGACUGCACAGCUGGAGUGCGGCAGAGGGGGAUGGAAUUCCGCGUGUAGCAGUGAAAUGCGUAGAUAUGCGGAGGAACACCGAUGGCGAAGGCAAUCCCCUGGGCCUGCACUGACGCUCAUGCACGAAAGCGUGGGGAGCAAACA
Molecule: ribosomal RNA, 427 nt
Filed under: uncultured bacterium
Lineage: Bacteria
Description: bacterial SSU rRNA
Rfam family: Bacterial small subunit ribosomal RNA
Source: RNAcentral